GCACAAGCGGUGGAUGAUGUGGAUUAAUUCGAUGCAACGCGAAAAACCUUACCUACCCUUGACAUGUCCGGAAUCCCGGAGAGAUUCGGGAGUGCUCGCAAGAGAACCGGAACACAGGUGCUGCAUGGCUGUCGUCAGCUCGUGUCGUGAGAUGUUGGGUUAUGUCCCGCAACGAGCGCAACCCUUGUCAUUAGUUGCCAUCAUUCAGUUGGGCACUCUAAUGAGACUGCCGGUGACAAACCGGAGGAAGGUGGGGAUGACGUCAAGUCCUCAUGGCCCUUAUGGGUAGGGCUUCACACGUCAUACAAUGGUCGGUACAGAGGGUUGCCAACCCGCGAGGGGGAGCCAAUCCCACAAAGCCGAUCGUAGUCCGGAUUGGAGUCUGCAACUCGACUCCAUGAAGUCGGAAUCGCUAGUAAUCGUGGAUCAGCAUGUCACAGUGAAUACGCUCCCGGGUCUUGUACACACCG
This 470-nucleotide ribosomal RNA is filed under the name uncultured beta proteobacterium. Its description in RNAcentral is "bacterial SSU rRNA". It matches the Rfam family "Bacterial small subunit ribosomal RNA", at positions 923 to 1392 of the family's 1533-position model. The record is from RNAcentral. Lineage: Bacteria; Pseudomonadati; Pseudomonadota; Betaproteobacteria.